This 497-nucleotide ribosomal RNA is filed under the name uncultured bacterium. Its description in RNAcentral is "partial 16S ribosomal RNA". It matches the Rfam family "Bacterial small subunit ribosomal RNA", at positions 28 to 507 of the family's 1533-position model. The record is from RNAcentral.
GAUGAACGCUGGCGGCGUGCUUAACACAUGCAAGUCGAGCGGACAGACGAGCUUCUUGCUGCUCUGACGUUAGCGGCGGAUGGGUGAGGAAUACGUAGAUAACCUAUCUUUAAGACUGGGAUAACGUCGGGAACCCGGAGACAAUACCGGAUAAUAUAUUGAACCGCAUGGUUCAAUAGUGAAAGACGGUUUUGCUGUCACUUAUUGGUGGAUCCGCGCCGCAUUAGCUAGUUGGUAAGGUAACGGCUUACCAAGGCGACGAUGCGUAGCCGACCUGAGAGGGUGAGCGGCCACACUGGAACUGAGACACGGUCCAGACUCCUACGGGAGGCAGCAGUAGGGAAUCUUCCGCAAUGGGCGAAGGCCUGACGCAGCAACGCCGCGUGAGUGAGGAAGGUCUUCGGAUCGUAAAACUCUUUUAUUAGGGAAGAACAAAUGUGUAAGUAACUAUGCGCGUCUUGACGGUACCGGAAGAAAAAGCCCCGGCUAACUACGUG